AGAGUUUGAUCCUGGCUCAGAACGAACGCUGGCGGCAUGCCUAACACAUGCAAGUCGAACGAGACCUUCGGGUGGGUGUUCUAGUGGCGAACGGGUGAGUAACACGUGGGCAACCUGCCCCCGGCUCUGGGAUAACUCCAAGAAAUUGGGGCUAAUACCGGAUAUGACUGCUGACCGCAUGGUCUGGUGGUGGAAAGUUUUUCGGCUGGGGAUGGGCCCGCGGCCUAUCAGCUUGUUGGUGGGGUAGUGGCCUACCAAGGCGACGACGGGUAGCCGGCCUGAGAGGGUGACCGGCCACACUGGGACUGAGACACGGCCCAGACUCCUACGGGAGGCAGCAGUGGGGAAUAUUGCGCAAUGGGCGGAAGCCUGACGCAGCGACGCCGCGUGGGGGAUGACGGCCUUCGGGUUGUAAACCUCUUUCAGCAGGGACGAAGCGGAAGUGACGGUACCUGCAGAAGAAGCACCGGCCAACUACGUGCCAGCAGCCGCGGUAAUACGUAGGGUGCAAGCGUUGUCCGGAAUUAUUGGGCGUAAAGAGCUCGUAGGCGGUUCGUCGCGUCGGCUGUGAAAACCCGGAGCUCAACUCCGGGCCUGCAGUCGAUACGGGCGGACUUGAGUGUUGCAGGGGAGACUGGAAUUCCUGGUGUAGCGGUGAAAUGCGCAGAUAUCAGGAGGAACACCGGUGGCGAAGGCGGGUCUCUGGGCAACUACUGACGCUGAGGAGCGAAAGCGUGGGGAGCGAACAGGAUUAGAUACCCCUGUAGUCC
Molecule: ribosomal RNA, 770 nt
Filed under: uncultured Geodermatophilaceae bacterium
Lineage: Bacteria; Bacillati; Actinomycetota; Actinomycetes; Geodermatophilales; Geodermatophilaceae
Description: bacterial SSU rRNA
Rfam family: Bacterial small subunit ribosomal RNA
Source: RNAcentral